CUGUUGGAACGUCGAAAAGUUGGACGUUUCAUUGAAACACCCUAUCUUCCUCCAAGUUAUCAUCAUUUAGAUCAACAAUUACCUCCCUCCCAUUCUCUAAUUUCUUCUCCUCAUUACCGCCACCAAUCACUUGCUCCCUAAUCGUAUUACCAUUUAUGUACAUAGUGACGGCACUAAAAUCCAUCAAUGAAAUCACAUUAUCAAUAGUACUGUCUGCAAACACUCACAAAGAAGAAUUAAGCCAGUAUUAUUUUCACAGCCACCCUAAACAAUCAGACAAGAUAUAACAGUUCAAACAUACAAGACAAUAAUUUUCAAGCCAGCGCCGAAAUCAGAGACAAAUGUGGUAAUAAUUGUGAAGAUAAAGAGUGAGUAUGAAGCUCUUAGGUUAAGCUUCGGCCCUUCAAAUGUGAAAAUCUUGCAAUGGAAGAACACAUUAGCACACUAAUCUCUUCUUCCAUUGCAAGCUUUUCCCCUUUCAAAGGCCGAAGCUUAACCUGAAGAGCUUCAUACUCACUCUUUAUCUUCACAAUCUCCAGCUACAAUCCGCAGCACAGCUCAACUUAACAGCAAAGCAAAACGUACUUCACUAUCCCUUACACUCAUGUUCAAUCAGAUUAGUUGGUAAAACAUUUCACAUGAUUUCGUAAUACAUCACACUUUACAGACUACUCUUUACACAUGUAACUUAUAUGUCAAUCAAUUGUGAUACCUUUUCCUUCAUAUCAUUCUUUACAUGUACGUUACUCUCCUAACCUCAACAACCAAUCCAUCCAAAUCACCCUAUGACUGUCACAACAGAAAAUAGUAACGUUCAUUGAGACAAUGAUAUGGAGGAAAAGAUACAGCAAUUGAUACAUCUACGUUACGUUGACUAAAUAUAUCUAACAAAUUCCAUUACUUUUCGCUUUCUUUUACCUAUUCCUUUUUGCUUUUAUUGUCCUUUAUCUAAUUUGUCUUCAACAUAACACUAAUACUCCUUUAUGUUGUCUAUGGCUCUCAAAUGAAACUGACUCAAAGAAGAUCGACAUGGAAGGAUUUUAUAGAUGCCAAUUACAGAAAUUAGUAAUCAAGACAAGGAACAUUGACUUCAUGCUUCAUGCUAUCUUUCUCUUGCAACCUUCUUAAUGAGUCUCUCUUUCUCUGCAUACAGACUUUUCAAACAACAUCCAUUCAUAUUUACAAGUUUUACGAAUCUAUGAGUGUCAACCAGCUUGAGAGCAUAUUGUCUUCCAUUUCAACUUCCAUUAUCAGAUACUCCAUCCACAGCAAAGUGCGGGCGCGUUCUCUCUCACUUUCUAAAUCCAAACAAACAUAACAUUUACAUGGAUAAAGCAUACAGUGGCUACCGUUUGUAGUAAUCAUCAUAAACUUUAUGUAUGACACUUUGCUGUUCUUUUUCAUAUUGUAUUGAUUAUGGAUUUCAGUGAUAUAAUGAAGUAAUACCACUGUUGCUUUA
This is a long non-coding RNA of Rosa rugosa (rugosa rose), 1459 nucleotides long. RefSeq lists it as uncharacterized. The transcript has 5 exons. The record is from RefSeq and is a predicted model, not a curated record. NCBI's taxonomy places the organism in Eukaryota, Viridiplantae, Streptophyta, Magnoliopsida, Rosales, Rosaceae.